AGGUCCUACAGCUGAUCCUGAGUCCUGAACUCACCUGACAGGAUAAGCAGGUAGAGGAAAGGUUUGCAGCGGCUCUGCCUGCAGCCUGGUCUGAGGGCCAUACUGACCCAGCUAGGUCCUGAUGAUGAUGAAGACGAGUCCAAGGUCACUAAACAGCUGGAGGAGCCGCCAGCUGCAUGUCGGGAAACAGCUGGCAGGUCCCACAAAGAAGCUCUGCUGCCGAGUUACCUGUUAGCUUAGCAUCAGCUACAGUCCAACGGUAAAACGUUAAAAACAAAACAGGCUGGUGUGUCUGUGCGGGAUCUACCUGCUAACGGAGCUAACGGAGCUAACAGAGCUAACCUCACACCGUAAACCCGCUCCGGACCGAAACAAAGGCAUCAGACCCCCGUUAGCUCCAGCUAACAGCUAACGUUAGCUUAAACUAGCUGUUAGCUUAAAGAACCGAAUCAUUAAACAGACAUUUAGCCACAUUAGCAGCCUGUCUGACACAUAACACAAGCGAACAGCUCAGCUAACACGACAACACAAAGACAAGCUAGCUAUCUCUAUAUUAAACAGAAGCUAACAGCUAACGUUAAUAACACUGGCCGGUUAGCUGGAACAUGCUAACGGAGCUAAGUGGCUAGCAAGCCCGUCCUCUACAACGAGGACAUAAAUCCCGGAGCGUUACCGCUAACCCGGGUUAAUUACAGGUAACCCGAGAUAACUACCAUCGCCAGGUGAAAGGUCAGCAGCGCGAGCGUCGCUCAGUCUGAAGGCAUCUUCAGGUAGUGUUAGCUGCUAGCGGCUAGCUGUUACCGAGCUGAACAACAACAGUCCGCAGCUGAGAGUGUGGAGGAGCAGGAACAUCAGUCCAGGUACAGGGAGAGAUCAGGUUUAUAAUGACCCAUCUACACCAGACUUGGGGACCUUAUCUGGCACGACUUCCUGAGGAGCUGUAUGAAAUUUGCUGUCAAUCGGCCUCUAGGCCCCCGGAGCUGCGGCAGGGCGCCCGGGUCGAGUCGCGCGGCAGGCACCGGGGGGCUUGGAACUUGGAACCACAAACUAAGCUGACCUGUAGAAGGUGGAGCAGAGAGGUGCGGCUCCUGGAGCAGCUUGGAUGAAGUCCUCGGGGGCCUCAGUGAAGCUUUAGUGGAAUAAAUUACCUCCCAAAUGUUUUACACA
Molecule: long non-coding RNA, 1167 nt
Organism: Micropterus dolomieu (smallmouth bass)
Lineage: Eukaryota; Metazoa; Chordata; Actinopteri; Centrarchiformes; Centrarchidae
Exons: 3
Source: RefSeq, a predicted model, not a curated record